Molecule: small RNA, 667 nt
Filed under: Pongo abelii (Sumatran orangutan)
Lineage: Eukaryota; Metazoa; Chordata; Mammalia; Primates; Hominidae
Description: retained intron
Source: RNAcentral
GCGAGUCGGCGAAAGCGGCGGGAAGUUCGUACUGGGCAGAAGGCGGCGGGUCUGCGGCUUAGGUGAAAAUGCCUCGUGUAAAAGCAGCUCAAGCUGGAAGACAGAGCUCUGCAAAGAGACAUCUUGCAGAACAGUUUGCAGUUGGAGAGAUAAUAACUGACAUGGCAAAAAAGGAAUGGAAAGUAGGAUUACCCAUUGGCCAAGGAGGCUUUGGCUGUAUAUAUCUUGCUGAUAUGAAUUCUUCAGAGUCAGUUGGCAGUGAUGCACCUUGUGUUGUAAAAGUGGAACCCAGUGACAAUGGACCUCUUUUUACUGAAUUAAAGUUCUACCAACGAGCUGCAAAACCAGAGCAAAUUCAGAAAUGGAUUCGUACCCAUAAGCUGAAGUACCUGGGUGUUCCUAAGUACUGGGGGUCUGGUCUACAUGACAAAAAUGGAAAAAGUUACAGGUUUAUGAUAAUGGAUCGCUUUGGGAGUGACCUUCAGAAAAUAUAUGAAGCAAAUGCCAAAAGGUUUUCUCGGAAAACUGUCUUGCAGCUAAGCUUAAGAAUUGUAUGUGAGCUACGUUCUUCUUGUUUUUAAAAAAUUGUUUUGAGUACAGUAAAGGCUAGUUUAUGUUGAAGCUUGGUCCUCUGCUGGCUGGUGUUAGGUACUGCAUUAACUUAUUC